UACCCGCUGAACUUAAGCAUAUCAAUAAGCGGAGAGAAA
RNAcentral lists this ribosomal RNA (39 nucleotides) under Aspergillus flavus. RNAcentral describes it as "partial 28S ribosomal RNA". The record is from RNAcentral. Lineage: Eukaryota; Fungi; Ascomycota; Eurotiomycetes; Eurotiales; Aspergillaceae.